Paramuricea clavata is the source of this 217-nucleotide non-coding RNA. NCBI's taxonomy places the organism in Eukaryota, Metazoa, Cnidaria, Anthozoa, Malacalcyonacea, Plexauridae. The record is from the annotation of a GenBank genome assembly.
AAAAAAUAUGCAAAUUUCCGGACGUGCGCGAUGGUAACAGGAAGAAUUAAACCAGGCAUAACGUCCAUGAGAAUAAUGUAAAUAAUAAUAUCAUGUUAGCUUAACAUUUUUAUAAGGAAUUGAGGGUAAAUUAAAUACUAAUUUGUACAAAAUUGAUUCCGUGAGCAGGUGCCCCUUAGUAUUAGGAACGAACUCUGGAAUGGAUUAGGGAUGAACA